This 73-nucleotide transfer RNA is filed under the name Ailuropoda melanoleuca (giant panda). It matches the Rfam family "tRNA". Rfam says of the family: Transfer RNA (tRNA) molecules are approximately 80 nucleotides in length. Their secondary structure includes four short double-helical elements and three loops (D, anti-codon, and T loops). Further hydrogen bonds mediate the characteristic L-shaped molecular structure. tRNAs have two regions of fundamental functional importance: the anti-codon, which is responsible for specific mRNA codon recognition, and the 3' end, to which the tRNAs corresponding amino acid is attached (by aminoacyl-tRNA synthetases). tRNAs cope with the degeneracy of the genetic code in two manners: having more than one tRNA (with a specific anti-codon) for a particular amino acid; and 'wobble' base-pairing, i.e. permitting non-standard base-pairing at the 3rd anti-codon position. The record is from Rfam by way of RNAcentral. Lineage: Eukaryota; Metazoa; Chordata; Mammalia; Carnivora; Ursidae.
GCCGGGCUGGCUCAGUCGGUAGAGCAUGCAACUUUUGAUCUCAGGGUUGUGAGUUCAAGCCCCAUACUGGGCA